This 524-nucleotide ribosomal RNA is filed under the name uncultured Limnohabitans sp. RNAcentral's name for it is "bacterial SSU rRNA". It matches the Rfam family "Bacterial small subunit ribosomal RNA", at positions 8 to 527 of the family's 1533-position model. Lineage: Bacteria; Pseudomonadati; Pseudomonadota; Betaproteobacteria; Burkholderiales; Comamonadaceae. The record is from RNAcentral.
AGGGUUUGAUCAUGGCUCAGAUUGAACGCUGGCGGAAUGCUUUACACAUGCAAGUCGAACGGCAGCACGGACUUCGGUCUGGUGGCGAGUGGCGAACGGGUGAGUAAUGUAUCGGAACGUGCCCAGUCGUGGGGGAUAACGUAGUGAAAAUUACGCUAAUACCGCAUACGAUCUAUGGAUGAAAGCGGGGGAUCGCAAGACCUCGCGCGAUUGGAGCGGCCGAUAUCAGAUUAGGUAGUUGGUGGGGUAAAGGCCCACCAAGCCAACGAUCUGUAGCUGGUCUGAGAGGACGACCAGCCACACUGGAACUGAGACACGGUCCAGACUCCUACGGGAGGCAGCAGUGGGGAAUUUUGGACAAUGGGCGCAAGCCUGAUCCAGCCAUUCCGCGUGCAGGAUGAAGGCCCUCGGGUUGUAAACUGCUUUUGUACAGAACGAAAAGGUUUCUACUAAUACUAGGAGCUCAUGACGGUACUGUAAGAAUAAGCACCGGCUAACUACGUGCCAGCCGCCGCGGUAAUACA